Molecule: ribosomal RNA, 255 nt
Filed under: uncultured bacterium
Lineage: Bacteria
Description: partial 16S ribosomal RNA
Rfam family: Bacterial small subunit ribosomal RNA
Source: RNAcentral
UACGUAGGUGGCAAGCGUUGUCCGGAAUUAUUGGGCGUAAAGCGCGCGCAGGCGGUCCUUUAAGUCUGAUGUGAAAAGCCCACGGCUCAACCGUGGAGGGUCAUUGGAAACUGGGGGGACUUGAGUACAGAAGAGAAGAGUGGAAUUCCACGUGUAGCGGUGAAAUGCGUAGAGAUGUGGAGGAACACCAGUGGCGAAGGCGACUCUUUGGUCUGUAACUGACGCUGAGGCGCGAAAGCGUGGGGAGCAAACAGG